RNAcentral lists this ribosomal RNA (247 nucleotides) under uncultured bacterium. Its description in RNAcentral is "partial 16S ribosomal RNA". It matches the Rfam family "Bacterial small subunit ribosomal RNA", at positions 523 to 769 of the family's 1533-position model. The record is from RNAcentral.
AUACGGAGGGUGCGAGCGUUGUUCGGAAUUAUUGGGCGUAAAGCGCGUGUAGGCGGUUUGUUAAGUCUGAUGUGAAAGCCCCGGGCUCAACCUGGGAAGUGCAUUGGAUACUGGCAGACUUGUAUACGGGAGAGGGUAGUGGAAUUCCUAGUGUAGGAGUGAAAUCCGUAGAUAUUAGGAGGAACACCGGUGGCGAAGGCGGCUACCUGGACCGAUAUUGACGCUGAGACGCGAAAGCGUGGGGAGC